RNAcentral lists this long non-coding RNA (1266 nucleotides) under Ananas comosus (pineapple). RNAcentral describes it as "long non-coding RNA (ACOM_LNC011931)". Lineage: Eukaryota; Viridiplantae; Streptophyta; Magnoliopsida; Poales; Bromeliaceae. The record is from RNAcentral.
UAAUUUCAUAUAUAUCCUACCCCUUCCAUAGAUAGCUCUUUCUAAAAGUGUCAAUAUCGAAAAUAUUCCUCUAAUUUAGCAAAACUAUUAUAAAUAUCUAAAUUAGCAAUAAUUUAUUAAAAUAUUAAGUACAAUUUUUAUUUUGCCAAUCAUCUAUUAUCUACACCUUUUUAAUUAACUUAAACAUUAUUUUUUUUUGAAAACAUUAUAAAUACAAUGGAAUAUAUACCAAAUUAAAAUAAUUAAUUGUGACGAACUACACUAUUGUAGCCAUGUGGUGUGUCCACAUUGGCGGGUCUUGAUUUACCCGAUCCACUUAAGAUGUGGAUUGUGAUUUAUCCUAAUGGGUUUAGGAUAAGAAUAAAUUAUAUGUUUCUUAUCAGACGAAAUAUCUUUCUUAUUCUCUCUCUUCUUCCUCUAUGGGAUUUCCACCUACGUUUCCGGGAUUUUAGAGUGUGGACAUAGAAGAGGACUCUGGUAGCUCUCUUUGAUUGGCAUCCGUCGCAUCAGAUCCGCAACCGAUCCAUGGCGUAAGGCGUACGCGUGGGAGAAGGCGAGAGACGUGGGAGAUCCAGAAGCAUCAAGACAAGAACGAUCCAAGAAGGUGGGAGAUCCAGAAGCAUCGAGCUAAGAAUGAUCCAAAAAGGCCUGUAAAACAAGCAACCGAUCCGAUUUGGGUUUCCGGAUACGUUGGCUAUCCGGUUAAGUUUCCGCUGUCUAUUAUUUCUAACAACUAUGAAAAUAGUAAUUAAGAAAAAAUAUUAUAUUAAUUUAGACAAAGAAGAAAAUAGAUUCACAAAAAAUAAUAAUAAACUUUUAGUUUUAGUUAAUUGUUUAUUAUGAUUAACAUGAGGCCCAUAUCAUACUGAAUAUAUAUAUAUAUAAAAAAAAAAACUUAAGUACGCAAAAGAUAUAUUUAUAAAUUGAAUCACAAAAUAAAACCGAGUUAUUUUUCGAUGAAAAAUAAAUUUAGUAGCCCUACAUGAUACUACACAAUUAUUUAUAUUUAGAUAUAACUAGUCAAUGCUCAUGCGCUGCACGUAUUAAUUUACAUAUUAAAUUAAAAAUAUAUUAAAUUAUUUUAAUAUUAAAUUAUAAAUUUAUGUAUAUAUAUUAAAUAAUAUUAAAUUUAUAUAAUAAUUAAAUAAAUAGAUUUUUUUCAAAACUAAAUAAAUAGUAUUUUUAGAGUAGAAACCCUUGACUAAUUAAUAAUUAAUAAUUAUAUAAAGUUAUUAAAUUUGAUAUAUUUUUAAUAUAAGUAAAUAU